RNAcentral lists this ribosomal RNA (441 nucleotides) under uncultured bacterium. RNAcentral describes it as "bacterial SSU rRNA". It matches the Rfam family "Bacterial small subunit ribosomal RNA", at positions 338 to 795 of the family's 1533-position model. The record is from RNAcentral.
CCUACGGGGGGCUGCAGUAGGGAAUUUUCCACAAUGGACGAAAGUCUGAUGGAGCAACGCCGCGUGCAGGAUGAAGGCCCUCGGGUCGUAAACUGCUUUUAUGUGCGAAGAUUAUGACAGUAACACAUGAAUAAGGGUCGGCUAACUACGUGCCAGCAGCCGCGGUCAUACGUAGGACCCAAGCGUUAUCCGGAAUUACUGGGCGUAAAGAGUUGCGUAGGUGGCAUAGUAAGUAAGAAGUGAAAGCGUUCGGCUCAACCGAAUAUACAUUUCUUAAACUGCUAAGCUAGAGAACGAGAGAGGUAGAUGGAAUUCCCAGUGUAGGAGUGAAAUCCGUAGAUAUUGGGAGGAACACCGAUGGCGUAGGCAGUCUACUGGCUCGUUUCUGACACUAAGGCACGAAAGCGUGGGGAGCAAACAGGAUUAGAUACCCCAGUAGUC